GCCAGGUGAAAUGGUGCGCACCUGUAACCCCAGGAACUCUGGAGGCUGAGGCAGUAGGAUUGCUGGAGCCCAGGAGUUUGGGGCCAGCCUGGGCCACAAAGAGAGACCUCAU
RNAcentral lists this small RNA (112 nucleotides) under Marmota monax (woodchuck). The record is from RNAcentral. Lineage: Eukaryota; Metazoa; Chordata; Mammalia; Rodentia; Sciuridae.